Gossypium arboreum is the source of this 2667-nucleotide RNA transcript. RefSeq lists it as uncharacterized. The record is from RefSeq and is a predicted model, not a curated record. The transcript has 5 exons. Lineage: Eukaryota; Viridiplantae; Streptophyta; Magnoliopsida; Malvales; Malvaceae.
GUUUGCGUUACGUUACUGCGCUUAGACAUUUGGUGAGCAUGGCGGUAACCUUAACAUUCCUUUUUCAAACCCUAAUCUUUAGGGAUAAAAAAUCAUUGAUCAAAUCCAAUUCAAACCACACUAAGCGCAUUGUUCAACUUCACAUGUUCCUCAGUUCCUUUUUUAUUGAAAAAUUGAACCAUCCUCUUUCAUUUUCUCGGUCAUUUGUUUGGAUAAAAUCCGUUUCUUUCUCUUGUUUAAAUUUGUUGUCACUGAACAGAAACAGUGUGUGAAUAUUGGAAAUCUGGGAAUCACUCCAAAUUAUGGAUUAGGGGGUAAAUCGGCUCAACGGGCUUCGAGAAGUAUGGAAAAUCAAGUGCAAUUGCAGUCAUAAGUUCCCGGUUUGAAACCAACCAGUCAGUCUACUUGAAUUUUGUUUUCGACAGUAGAUGUUAUCUUCGUAGCAGUAGAAAUGGGGGAAAAGGAAGGAUCUGGUUCUGGGAAUUUGAAGUUGUCUCGGCCUACAGUUGCUGAGAAAUUCUGGGAUGGCUCCCUUAAGCUUAAUUCUUCUGUAACUGUGUCGGUCGUUGCCUUCUUCAAAAGUGGUGAGAAGAUGCCUGAUAUCAAGUGGUCUGAACUUGUAGAAGUCAAAGGAAAAGUUAGAUUAGAGGCUUUUGAGAAAUAUAUUCAGGAGCUUGCUCGCUCACGCAAUAGAGGGUUGAUGGUAGUAUCACUCUGCUGGAAAGAAGGGUCUUCUAGAUCAGGACUGGUAGGUUUGAAUGAGAUUGCCAAAGGGUACAAGAAAGGGGAAAGAGUGGGGUUUGCUCAACUCUCACCUGGUAUUGAUCUUUACAUAUGUCCUCGCAGUGAUGCCAUAAUCACCAUACUUGCAAAACAUGGAUUCUUCAAGGGCAUGGCUGCUGUUGAAGACAAGAAAAAUUCAUUAAUUGGUUGUGUUGUUUGGAGAAGAAACCAUGGACUUUCAAGUUCUGUCACAAAGAAGCUUGAAAAAAAGCAUUCUUCUUCGACAGAGCAGCCACUGAGUUCCCAAUCUGAUGAAAAGGUUUCUGCAAAGGACUUACCUUGCACUCAAUCUGCUAAAGAAUCGCCCCGAAUAACAUGCACAAGCAUUGAGAGUGCUGUAAUUAAUAGAAAUGAAGGUGACAAUGUGGGGAGUAGUGACAGCCAACUGAAACUGCAUACUUCUCCUGCCAGUGCUGAUCUCCCGCUUAAGACUUCAGCAUUGAGCCACUUAUCAGGUAUUUCACUAGGACUUCAAACAUCAUCCUAUUCUGAUUCUGUCCCUUCCUUAAGGCCCAAGGGGCAGUCUUCUCUAAAUGAAAUGCCUCAUGUAGAUACCUCAGGACCGGAGGAAACUAAAUCUGUUUUGGGACAUCAAAAUCCUGUAAUAUCUCUGCCAUCAGUUAUUAUAAAAGAGCUUCCUGCCAUUGAUGAUGAUGAUCUUCCAGAAUUUGAUUUUGGGGCUGAGUGUGGCAUAUCUAGAACUCCAAGAAGCAAGGUUUUCGAUACAGCAGUGUUUGACAAGAAUGUUGUGGUUGAAGGAUUAAAGAAAGUUGUUGCGUCAGUGCCAUUGUCUUCACCAACUACACAGUCACUACCUGCUCAGUGUAAAAGGAGAGCAGAAGAUAUCCUUUCUCCUCAGUUUGCAUUCAACAGUUGUCUCAACUUGCCUCCAGGAAAUAAAGCUUCUAAACUUGCUCCAGUUCUACAAGCAAAACAUACUGUCAAAAGCAGCUCAGUCUUCACACCUGUUAUCACUAGUAUGGUUGCACCACAAAAGAAUAUUUUCGAUGAUGAUGAUGAUGACAUGCCUGAAUGGUGUCCGCCGAAUGUAAAGCACACAUUUCUUGAAUCAGCAACGGUAGCAAGAACUUCUAUCCAUCCUACUUUAUCAAACUCAAAGUUAGUAUGUUCAUUUCCAGGUCAGCCAAGUCUCACAUUCUCUUCUUCAGCUUGUCAAUUGCCUCCUCUCCAAAGAUCCAUUUAUGCAAAUCAGUCUCCAAUGACUGCCUCUGCAGAACCACCACAACCAAGACAAACUGAUAGAUACCUACGAAGGGCUCCAAGUUCUUUGAUGGGAUCCAAUUCCAGCCAUCUUUUGAGGCCACCUAUCCACCCUCCUCAAUGGAAGGGCAAGGGGAGAUGAAACCAGCAAACUGUUAAAAUAUGUGAGAUAGUUAAAGCACUGUAUAGAGCUUGCUCCAAAAGGGGAUGGAUGAUGACUUCAAAGAAGCUAUAAGGCCAGAAGAGUAGCAGCUAUCAAGGGUUUAAUUCUCCAAAAUCAUAAGCCUGUCUUAUCUACUUGACUAUUUAAUUUUCUCGCAUAAGCUUCUCUUUUCUUAAAGGUAAAGUCAAAUAUUCAUUAAUCGAAAGAGAUGAGAAAACAAAGGAACGAAUAGGAGUGAAGGACAACCAUAUUCAAGCUAAUAGGCUUAUCCUAUACAUUCGUUCAUUGGUCACGUUAUUAGAGCUAUCUGACAAUAAAAUAGAGGUAAGACGAUUAGGACAAAGCUCCCAAAUGUGAUGGUCUGCAUAAAAUAAAACCGCCCUAGUGGGAGUAUGAGCUGCAUUCGUGAGUCCAAUGGAAGACCACAUGUUAAAAGUGAUCCUUUAAAUGUAAACAAUCCUAAAUCGAAAGACCAAAUCCUGAAAGAUCCGAAGAAGAAA